CUUGUUUUAGGGAUCUUACGAAGAUAAGGGGUCCCCCGGACCGUGUAGAGAGGUAGAGUAGAGAAGGGGCGGAGGAAGAGGUGGAGGCCGGCGGCGGCGCCGGUCCGGUAGCACCGCCGCGCGGUGGGUCGGUUGGAGGAAGGAGGUUGUGGUAGUAGCGGAGGUCGAUGGUGCGGUAGUCGUUGACGGCGACGUGGUAGUUGGCGCGGUGGUCGAGGUGGCGCGGUGGCGUAGUGGCCACCCGGUGGUUGGUCGCGUGGAGGGAGCGGAACAACGAGUAGAAGAAGAGGUAGGGGUGCGACGACGAAGAAGAGGUUCAGGGGACGACGAAGGAAGACGAAGUCCUAUUGUGGGGAAACGACUAAGAGAAGAGACAUAGAGUUGGGGGUGACGAACGACGGGGAAGAGAGACGAUGAGCGACGAUAGAGAAAGGGAGAGAGAAGAGACUUAAAAGACAUUAACCUCUGCACAUCAAGGACAUUAUAAAUCUAAACUAUUCUAGAACGUUGGACUGUUAACGAGUCGAAGCAAGAAUAUUUAUAACAUAGUGUCUAACACACAAGAGUGAUCAACUUCACAAGAACGACACAUAAACACCAGAUAGACAGUGGUAUAUACACAUAGGUUGGAACACUUGAACAAAGUAAAACAUCAGACACAAUUGAGUUCGUACACACUUUAUAUAUGUAUACACACACGGACACUAUAUUAUGCAAAUACAAGAUAGAACGUUGGAACAAAUAAAAAGGACGAUUUACAAUCUAUCAAUAUAUAUACUAGUCCAGAAAAAUUAAGGGAUCGGCAAACUGCUAAUGAACACAAUCGUAAAAUAAAGAGUUAAAAUUACUUUUACGGUUUUUCUAUAACUCUAUUAGACUUGGAAGGUAACGAUGAAACAGUAAAAGAAACAGCAGUUGAAACCAAUCAAAUCCGGAUAUAAAGGAACGUUAGUAGUAGAUUUAAGACAGUGGAUCGAAAUCGGUUCGUGCUAGUAGCUAAACGGAUCAGGGACACCCCUUGUGCUGUGAACGUCAAACCCACUUUAUAGGGCGACAUGAAUGUUAACUAGUAAAACCGCGGCAACGGCCCCUGAACGCAGCUCGCUAACACGCUUCGAUAUCUGAUCCGAAUCAUAUCAAAAACAAAUUUAAAGGUCAGUUUAAAUAAAUACACAAAGAAAAUGGAAAAAUGAAAAACAACGAAGCCGAAUAAUCCUAUGAUUGGGAGAGUGGUUACAAACUACAAACACUCGCACACAUCCUAUAGAAUAAUAAACAUCCGACUAACUGUUAACGUGAACUUGUAUACCCAAAUCAUGCACUAGAAACCAACGGUUCAUCAAACCUGUGCUACUGUCCCGGUUAAACCGGUAGAUAACUCCGGCUUUUAAAACUCAACUCCGGACCCGAAUAACGAGAGCAGAACGUCUUAGUCAAAUCUCCUAAUGGGUUACUUCUGGGAGUACUCGUGUAAUCAUUACAAGACCUCAUACGGUUAUGUCAGGUCAUAGUACCGCAAAGGGUUCUACGAUAGUUCACAUACAACAAGUGUAAGAGAGAGUCUCUACGACGUUCCUGACCAUGAUAAGAAACGGUAGUUCUAGUAUGUGAACCCCACUAUAAAGUGUUCGAAAGGACGUAUCUAUAAAAGGUGAAAUGUUCGUUCGACGUUAAGCACUGGUCUAGGAGUCAAAACGCGUUCUACCAUCACUCUCGAACAUACGUCGAACCCUCUCUACAUUCAUAAACGAAUCUUUUACAGGAUUAGUACCCGUUUUCCUAACCAAUCACGAAGUCUAUAAGAUAUCUCCCGAUUGUGUACGAAGUUCUCUAGAAUAACUAUACAGUCGACCACCUUGUUAGUACUUGUUCCGGCAACUCCCACGUUAAUAAGAGUAACUCUCGUAACGGAAGGUGGUUUAUGUUACCCCAAUACUUUCCGGAUCAAGUUUAGGCUUCCAACGUUCGGAGCACGUUAGUCUUCGACACACAAGGUAUUCACUUGUCUUUAGUAGGUACCACGGAUUAUAAGUUUUGGUCGUACAAAGUAAGGCCCCUGUUGUUGUAAAGUCUUGACUUAAUCUAGGAGGUAUAUCUUUGUAACUAGAAUGAAGUUAAUAGGAACUACUACUAAUACUAUAAAAGGUUCUACUACGUUGGUGACAUCUAGUCUACCUAUGGUGUCAUCGUCUAGGUUAUGGAGUACCGUUACUUUGACAAGUCUUACUCAGUUUCAACGUUCUUCUCCAAAUACUCCUUGGAUGAGACUAACUGCGAUUCAACUCUGUCGUUCUAUACCUCUUUAAGUGAAUACAAUCAGUCGAUAGACUGACCACCUUAAGUCAGCACAGUGGUUAACGGGUGUGAACACAAUGUUGACAUAGACCUGAUAAACAGUUCUUCUUUAGUAAUCUAGGUGGUCACCAAUGGAGAUAGUGUCAAUUUCUCUCAUAGAGUCUCUUCUUAUCACUUCUACUCUAAGGUUGAGGACGUGUAUGUUAAUUCGUUCAGCCUCUGUAAGGUUCCUCUCUCUAUGUUCUCCAACUCAGUUUAAAUCUUCUCGACUAUGAAGUUAUAGGACUCUUCUAGGGUACACAACGACUCGACGUACUGACCACCUUCAGUAGCCACAGUGACAACUUUGAAUCGUUACUACCACUACUCCUCUUGUAACGAGUCUUUCUGUCGCUCCAUCACUAGAGUCGUGGGGAUGGUCUAGUACAAUCACUUAUAAGUAUCUACCCCUGUGAAGUCUGAGUUAAUUCACAACGACCAUCAUCGUGGUAUCUUCUAGGUCUCCUUCUCUCUGGAGUCUAACUUCUACAUGAGCUUCGGUUCCGUGUUCUACUAGGUCUCGAGCUUGUUGGUUCAUUAGUUCAACUUCUGAGUAGUAGAUGAUGAGAACUUCUUCGUUUUCUUCGACGACAUCUACUUGAACUUCUUGGUCUUUAAGUAAACGGAUAACAGUGUGUUCUCGCACUACAUCGUCCAAAUAGAUUAGGAGCACUACUGUACUCAGGUAUACUUAACAAACGAUGAUGGAACGUAACGUACUACGGUAGACAAUUUCAUCUAAACUUUUUCAUAAACGAACCUGUACUAGUAUAUAUGGAACAAUCACCGUAAUGAGUGUAAUCCCUACUAGUAUCAAUGAAAGUAGCACGAUCUGGAUACGAAUUACUUUGUAUAGUAAGAGUAUGAUCAGAACUCGAAUUACUAUUUACAGUAGGAGUACAAUCACAACUGGAACGACUAAAGAUAGUGGGAUUUGUACACGAAAUAUCGAUACGAAUACAUUAACCGGUGAGCUAACUACUGAACCUCCCAUAAUAGGGAUGGUGAGCGUAACAGAGAAAACAACUCACGGAAAAGUCCAAAAACGAAGACGUGGCAAGUGAAGUACAACUGGUCCAAGCUCCACUGUAAGGAACCCUGGGACCACCUGAGUCUCGUGCCACUUCUCCUCUUCGUUACCCCGUGUUUAUACCUUCUCUCUUCGACCUCGUCCGUACUCCUAACUCUUCGUUUUCCUCUCCUCGACGUCAACCACUCCACUAGCUCGCUCACGAUGUAGUAGUUUCGGGCCACUCGACAAAGUACUGGGUAAAACUUUAGUAGUACGUAACUACGAACGACUUAAUUUAACGAUAAACCCAACGAACACGGUAAAGAAUUUACAACAGGGUGACUUAAAGUGGAAACUGUAUACCACGAACUACUCUUAUACGCUUGACUAACAACUUACGGAACAUUUGAUCACUAGAUGUGGGACAAACGAGACGACUUUCAUCACUUUCGAUAAUCAAAACUCACGAGUUUAGGGAUCACGUGAUCAUUUGAAUUAGUAAAAGACGAAAAUGGAACUAUGUGAAUCUAGUAAUUCACAAUCUACAACUCAAACACGGAUACCACAAGGGUAACUCUCGUUAGUGAAAUGGUGAUACCUGAUCAUACGAUACAAGGGACCUAGCCAUCGUACACUUGGUCUGUACCUCUUCACUACUAAGGACAAAAACACGAAUAGGCAACAAGUAAAUUCUAUUCAUUAUUACUUAUUUAUUCAGACUGAUGGAUGUCAUCGUACAGUACAAGGGAUCUAGCUACCGUACACUUUAGCCCAAUCGAACCCGUCAUUAAUUAAUUUUUACAUUAACAGCUUGGUCCACAUAUGGUACAAGAGACCUAGCCACCAUACAAGGAAACCCCUCUGUUUGUUUUUUUUGAUUAUUAACCAGCUCGGCCCACAUAUGGUACAAGAGCCCUAGCCACCAUACAAGGAAACCACUCUAUCUAUUUUAUAAUAGUGACGAAAUAAAAACAUUUAUUCACUAGACUAGUGUUCAAAUACAAGAAAAACAAGAGCCCUAGUACGAGAGAAAUCCUUGGAAACCGUGUUAGUAGUAAACUCGAUCAACUAGAAGAAAAUAGUAACAUUUUCAAAUUUUACCAGUUCAGAUGAUCAUAGGAUGGCGAAACUUCGUGAGGAUUGGUAAUUAAAAGUGAUCGAUUCAGGUUUCGUACGUGACAAAUCUCUAGAUGAAGUGAACCGUAAGAGAUCAGUCAAGAGAUAAGUGAUAGCUCAAGCACAGUAUACGGAAAUGAACUCCUGUUCAUUUCUAAAUUCACACCCCCUUGAACUAUUCGUGUGAAGAAUAUGUAGAAAACCGUGAGUUUAUACGCCAAAUAACUCUAUACUGGUAGUUAAGAACGACACUUUACAACUUAUAAACUUACUUUUAGUAUAUUUUCUAGUAAAUGAGCAGUAAACUAAUAAAACGUCUUUUCACGCGUUUCCGUGAUAUUAGCAGUUCUAAGACUGAAAUACCGAUUACUGUUCCCUCUUCCCGUACUUUCUUUAUGUAGUUCCUGGACUCGCUCUUCUUUUCUUCAUUGGUCCCCGUACGGUUACUUCAACCUCCCUAGUAGAACACUUCUUUCUUCUCUUCAUCUUCCCGGUUUCUCGUUUCGCCUUCUAGACUAGCUCCCCUUGUUUUAGGGAUCUUACGGAGAUAAGGGGUCCCCCGGACCGUGUAGAGAGGUAGAGUAGAGAAGGGGCGGAGGAAGAGGUGGAGGCCGGCGGCGGUGCCGGUCCGGCAGUACCGCCGCGCGGUGGGUCGGUUGGAGGAAGGAGGUUGUGGUAGUAGCGGAGGUCGAUGGUGCGGUAGUCGUGGACGGCGACGUGGUAGUUGGCGCGGUAGUCGAGGUGGCGCGGUGGCGUAGCGGCCACCCGGUGGUUGGUAGCGUGGAGAGAGCGGGACGACGAGUAGAAGAAGAGGUAGGGGUGCGACGACGAAGAAGAGGUUCAGCGGACGACGAAGGAAGACGAAGUCCUAUUGUGGGGAAACGACUAAGAGAAGAGACAUAGAGUUGGGGGUGACGAACGACGGGGAAGAGAGACGAUGAGCGACGAUAGAGAAAGGGAGAGAGAAGAGACUUAAAAGACAUUAACCUCUGCACAUCAAGGACAUUAUAAGUCUAAACUAUUCUAGAACGUUGGACUGUUAACGAGUCGAAGCAUGAAUAUUUAUAACAUAGUGUCUAACACACAAGAGUGAUCAACUUCAUAAGAACGACACAUAAACACCAGAUAGACAGUGGUAUAUACACAUAGGUUGGAACACUUCAACAAAGUAAAACAUCAGACACAAUUGAGUUCGUACACACUAUAUAUAUGUAUACACACACGGA
Molecule: ribosomal RNA, 5688 nt
Filed under: Triticum aestivum (bread wheat)
Lineage: Eukaryota; Viridiplantae; Streptophyta; Magnoliopsida; Poales; Poaceae
Description: partial small subunit ribosomal RNA
Source: RNAcentral